ACCUGGGUGGCUCAGUUGGUUAAGCGUCUGACUUUAGCUCAGGUCAUGAUCUCAUGGUUGGUGGGUUCAACUCCCGCAUCAGGCU
This 85-nucleotide transfer RNA is filed under the name Felis catus (domestic cat). It matches the Rfam family "tRNA". From Rfam's summary of the family: Transfer RNA (tRNA) molecules are approximately 80 nucleotides in length. Their secondary structure includes four short double-helical elements and three loops (D, anti-codon, and T loops). Further hydrogen bonds mediate the characteristic L-shaped molecular structure. tRNAs have two regions of fundamental functional importance: the anti-codon, which is responsible for specific mRNA codon recognition, and the 3' end, to which the tRNAs corresponding amino acid is attached (by aminoacyl-tRNA synthetases). tRNAs cope with the degeneracy of the genetic code in two manners: having more than one tRNA (with a specific anti-codon) for a particular amino acid; and 'wobble' base-pairing, i.e. permitting non-standard base-pairing at the 3rd anti-codon position. The record is from Rfam by way of RNAcentral. Lineage: Eukaryota; Metazoa; Chordata; Mammalia; Carnivora; Felidae.